RNAcentral lists this ribosomal RNA (236 nucleotides) under uncultured bacterium. Its description in RNAcentral is "partial 16S ribosomal RNA". It matches the Rfam family "Bacterial small subunit ribosomal RNA", at positions 118 to 351 of the family's 1533-position model. The record is from RNAcentral.
UGAGUAACCUGCCCUUAACUCUGGGAUAAGCCUGGGAAACUGGGUCUAAUACCGGAUAUGACUCCUCAUCGCAUGGUGGGGGGUGGAAAGCUUUAUUGUGGUUUUGGAUGGACACGCGGCCUAUCAGCUUGUUGGUGAGGUAAUGGCUCACCAAGGCGACGACGGGUAGCCGGCCUGAGAGGGUGACCGGCCACACUGAGACUGAGACACGGCCCAGACCUCCGUACGGGGAGCAG